RNAcentral lists this ribosomal RNA (616 nucleotides) under Candida tropicalis. RNAcentral's name for it is "eukaryotic LSU rRNA". It matches the Rfam family "Eukaryotic large subunit ribosomal RNA", at positions 37 to 668 of the family's 3401-position model. Lineage: Eukaryota; Fungi; Ascomycota; Pichiomycetes; Serinales; Debaryomycetaceae. The record is from RNAcentral.
UGCAUAUCAAAAAGCGGAGGAAAAGAAACCAACAGGGAUUGCCUUAGUAGCGGCGAGUGAAGCGGCAAAAGCUCAAAUUUGAAAUCUGGCUCUUUCAGAGUCCGAGUUGUAAUUUGAAGAAGGUAUCUUUGGGUCUGGCUCUUGUCUAUGUUUCUUGGAACAGAACGUCACAGAGGGUGAGAAUCCCGUGCGAUGAGAUGAUCCAGGCCUAUGUAAAGUUCCUUCGAAGAGUCGAGUUGUUUGGGAAUGCAGCUCUAAGUGGGUGGUAAAUUCCAUCUAAAGCUAAAUAUUGGCGAGAGACCGAUAGCGAACAAGUACAGUGAUGGAAAGAUGAAAAGAACUUUGAAAAGAGAGUGAAAAAGUACGUGAAAUUGUUGAAAGGGAAGGGCUUGAGAUCAGACUUGGUAUUUUGUAUGUUACUUCUUCGGGGGUGGCCUCUACAGUUUAUCGGGCCAGCAUCAGUUUGGGCGGUAGGAGAAUUGCGUUGGAAUGUGGCACGGCUUCGGUUGUGUGUUAUAGCCUUCGUCGAUACUGCCAGCCUAGACUGAGGACUGCGGUUUAUACCUAGGAUGUUGGCAUAAUGAUCUUAAGUCGCCCGUCUUGAAACCACGGACCC